GUGUCAGCAGCCGCGGUAAUACGGAGGGGGCUAGCGUUGUUCGGAAUUACUGGGCGUAAAGCGCGCGUAGGCGGUUUGCCAAGUCAGAGGUGAAAGCCCGGGGCUUAACCUCGGAAUUGCCUUUGAGACUGGCAGGCUUGAGUACGGGAGAGGUAAGUGGAAUUCCGAGUGUAGAGGUGAAAUUCGUAGAUAUUCGGAAGAACACCCGUGGCGAAGGCGGCUUACUGGACCGUUACUGACGCUGAGGCGCGAAAGCGUGGGGAGCAAACAGGAUUAGAUACCCUGGUAGUCCACGCUGUAAACGAUGUAUGCUAGUUGUCGGGCGGCUUGCCGUUCGGUGACGCAGCUAACGCAUUAAGCCCUCCGCCUGGGGAGUACGGUCGCAAGAUUAAAACUUAAAUGAAUUGGCGGGG
Molecule: ribosomal RNA, 413 nt
Filed under: uncultured prokaryote
Description: bacterial SSU rRNA
Rfam family: Bacterial small subunit ribosomal RNA
Source: RNAcentral